Molecule: non-coding RNA, 129 nt
Organism: Vermiconidia calcicola
Lineage: Eukaryota; Fungi; Ascomycota; Dothideomycetes; Mycosphaerellales; Extremaceae
Source: the annotation of a GenBank genome assembly
GCCGGUGUAGUGCAGUGGUGAGCACGUUUCGUUGUGGUCAAGCCAUCUUCUCCAUCAAAUCUAUGGUUUGGAAAGGACGGCUUCAAGGCAGUAACCGAAGAGACCUCAGUUCGAAUCUGAGCACCGGCA